Lycium ferocissimum is the source of this 3987-nucleotide long non-coding RNA. RefSeq lists it as uncharacterized. The transcript is spliced from 3 exons. The record is from RefSeq and is a predicted model, not a curated record. NCBI's taxonomy places the organism in Eukaryota, Viridiplantae, Streptophyta, Magnoliopsida, Solanales, Solanaceae.
GAAAUAAGAGUAGAGAUGGAUAAAGUUCCCUCUGCAAAAUUGCAAUGAACAAGCACAAGAUUAACACUCAAACACAAGUGGAUGCAUGACUGUGGACUGCUUAAGUUUAGUUAGGAAGCAUUAGAGUUUAGAGACUAAAGAAGCUUAUAAUUUUCCACCUGCAUUUCACAUGACAGGAAGAAAUUUGUAACAAGAUUUCGCCGCAAAAGUGCAAGAUUUUGUUUAGAAGGCACAAAAGUGCAUGAUUUUCAGCCAUUAAUUUUAUUUGAUUAACAGGAUCACCCAACAGCAAAGCUCUUUUUGAAUUAGGUUAAUUUUAUUUCAGAACAUCUGAGCAUGGGAAGCACUUAUUCUUGGCAGAUCUCUAACUAUACAAAGAAGACCUCAGCCCAGCCGUGUGAAAUAGUAAAAGUAGUGGCAUCUCUUGGCAAAAGGGUGAAAAGAAGGAUGAGAAUCCAAAUUGCAGAUAGUUAUUAUCUGGGUGCCUUUGGGCCAACCAUUUGGCAGCCACCUAAGUAUGUUGCUAACAAUGGAAUAUAAUACUUCUACAUGUAAUCAGCUGAAAAAGCUAUCUUGGGAAGUCAAAAUGCAUUGUAUACAGGGAAAGUUCUUGGAUUAUAUAUGGGAAUCCUUUUUUCCCCUUUUCUAGGUCCAUGAAUACUAAAAAAGUACUUAUCAACUAGCAUUCAAAGUGUUUAAAGUAACUUUUAAAAGUUAGUAAGGACGGAAAUAUUCAGAUGGUGACUAAUUGAGUAUCAACACUACUAAAGCCAGACCUUUUUAGUCUAAGAUAAUUUGCAGAUUAAUGUAAGAGCCUAACCAAGUGAAGGGGGACAACCAAAAACUGUAGAAAUUUCACGAAAUCAUGUCAGUUCCUAGAUUUCCUUUUGUCUAAAUGAGGAUCCCUUCAAGAUCUUAUCCCUCUUCUUUUUUUUCUUUGUUCCUUUAAUUUUUCUUUUCAAACUUUAAUUUUCAUCUUCUGUGCUUAUGCAUCCCUUUUUUUUCAUAAGGUAAAUAAUUUUAGUAAUAUUGGAAAAGCUCAUCAAAACAUGAUUCUCUACAAAAGACACCCAAUCAUCUAUACAAAUAGGAAUCUCAUGGGAGCACCAAAAAGCAAUCAAAGACAACCAGGUUAUUCCUCAGAUAUAAAAAAGAAAUUCAAAUGAUAAAGGUUUUUGUUGAUUUGUAUUAUCCGAUUUUGAUCAGAUGGGAUCAAAUCAAAUAAGUUAGGAGAGUUUCAGCUUUUUAGAGAUUAGGUUCAAAUUAGACGACUGUAAAGUUAUCUCCGUAUGACCUAUAGGUCACGGGUUAGAGCCGUGAAAGCAGAGCCACUAAUGCUUGCAUUAAGUUACGCUGUCUACAUCACACCCUUGGGAUGCGGCCCUUCCCCGGACCCUGCUAACACGGGAUGCUUUGUGCACCGGGAUGCCCCUUUCAGAUUUAAAUUAGACUUAUCCCUUUAAUUCUGGACUAUAUAGAAUCAAGCAAUCAUUUUUCUUUUUUAGUGAUUUGUUUUCUCCAUACACUUUGAGUUAAUAGAAUAUACUAUUCCGCCACCAACACUUUCAUGGUAUCAGGGCAGUAGCCUUUUUUCAUCUGUUCAUGGCUAAGGCAGCCUUUAUGAGCAUGAACCCCAGCGGCAACAACAGAAGCCGAGAGUUCUGUUAGUGCAGUCCCUAGCGAAACAACCAUGAUUUAAAGCAGCAAUUCAUCUCAUUUAUCCUUUUGACUAGCGUCCCAUAGGUUGAAUGGCCAAAAAAGUAUCUGUAGAGGGCACAAUAUGUCACCGGUUAGCGAUUGACGUCCGAGGAAAACUUGGGCACUUGACUGGUGAAAUCAGGAAACCUGAACUGGAGAUCCAAAGAUAAACGCCUAGAGGUCCGAGAACUCAUUGGUGAGAUUGUGUGGCUUCUAAACUGUACGGAACCAAACAAUAGGUAAACCCUAUUUAUUUUUGCCUACUGCAAGAGAUGUAUGGAGUUUGUUAAAGAAACAUAUUCUGAUGUAGAAAAUGCUUCUCAAAUUUUUAAAUUAAAAAUUAAGAUUUGAAAGGCUAGGUAGUGAGAGAGAGAGAGGUGACCAUCUAUUACAAUGAAAUAGUUUCAUUACGGCAAGAGCUAGAUCAAUGCUACAAUGAUGAAUGAGGAUGUCCGACGGAUAGUGUAAAAGCAAUGAAGAGAAAAAAGAAAAUCAAAAAGUUUAUCUAUUCCUAGCAAGACUAAACCGAGAAUUCGAUGAAGAUCCGGAUCCUUGGAAACAGGGGCAGACGCACGUCGGGGCAAGUGGUGUCAUCCAACACCGUUUGCCGAGAAACUUUUAUUAUUAUAUAUAAAUAUAGCCUGCGCAUCGAAACAGUAAUAAUAAAAUAUAAGUGACACUGCUUGUCAACACGGGCUCUGCUGGCGCGCUGGUUAAGGUCAUCUAUUUUAUCAUUUUUAGCUUUCUUCGGAAGAAAAGUUAUUGUAGCCAGUAGGUUUCGAUCCCUCGACUCUGCCUAAAAUGGAGUAGCAAAACCAAAUGGACCAGCAUCUCUUACAUUAGUUUGACUGCCAGAUACUUUAUUUUGCUCUUUACCUCAGAGUAUCUAAAUGUUGAGAUGUUUUCUCGGCGAUGAAGUUGAUUAAGAUUGACUUACGGAAUUUAAUGGAUAAUAAGCUUUUGAGUGGUUGUUUGUUGUCUUAUAUAGAAAACGAAGUAUUUAGUAAUAUUUUGAAUGAUUCUAUUAUGGAUGCAAAACUCGUCGAGGAGAGUUAUAAUAUUAUACUUGAAUUGUGUUUUUCUAAAUCAUGGUGUUGUUACAUUGAUCUAUUCAUUUAUUCACUUCUUUAAAUGUCGACACUGCUUACGAAAAAUCCUGCGUACGCCACUGCUUGGAAAAAAACCCUUACCUUCUUUGCGCAAGACAUACUCAGAAAGAAGAAGAGAAGAAGCCAGGAGAUGGCAUGUUGAAAUCAGAUCCUAAUCAAGAUUCAAAAUGAAAAGAUUCUUCUGCAAUGGUGGCUGCAAAAGGAGAUGCUGACAUCAUGGCAGCCAAGCAUUCCGAAUAACCAACAAAGAGCAGGGGCACCGGUUGAACUUCAGAGGUGUCUCCGUUCACUAAGGAGCAAUUAGAACUCUUGCACAAGCUUCUCCAAAAUCAACUCCAACCCAGUAAACCAAGUUGUUUCAAUCCCUCUUCUUCUUUUUAGAACAAGGUCUCGAGGAGGAGGAUUGGCAAUGCUAAAGAGUCGGAGGUAUUUAGAAGCGGAAUUGCAAAAACAGUUGAAAACAAGGAAUUUUGAAGACAAGGCACUGUGUUGCACUUGUACGGACCGUCAACAUGCUCGACGGUCCGUCAAGUUGGUCGUCGAAUUGCACUGAGUGAAAUAUCAGAGACUGCCAUAUAUUGAUGUAAAACAACGAGAAGGUCAACGGACCGUCAACAUGAUCGACGGUCCGUCGAUGUACAAGGACGGUGGAGUUUCUGUAGCAUGAAAAUUGUCAUCAGAUUGUCGAAGUGCAUCGUUGACAUUCGACGGUACCGUCAAUGUGCAAAGACGGUCCGUCGAGUUGCAAGCCGACCUGGAACUGGAUUGGGAUUAAUUAUUCCGAGUUUAACUUGUAUAAAUACCAAAUACCUGUUUAGGUUUUAUUUUUCAGACAUCUGGAGUUUUAGACUUGUAGUAAUUACUUUUGGGUUUUUAGUACAAUUGAAGAUUUUCCAGACAAUUACAUUCGUUUACUUUCAAGUUUAUUCGUAAGUUUAAUAAAAAAUUCAAUUAUGCAACCUUCAAUCUUUUAUUGUUUUCUUGUUGCCAUGAGUAGCUAAACACCUUUACUAAGGUUGUGAACCCAAGGAUGGGUGUUUUGUGAUUGGGGAUUGUGAUUGAUAUACGCAUAAUGGAUUGUUAGGGUUUAUUUGUUCUUCGUUUUCAUCAUAUAGUUAGUGGUUGCAAACAUUAGCUAACGCCAUAAACUUUGGUUUAUUUGGGAAAAUAACUAGGGUUA